UAAGCCAUGCGAGUCGAAUGUAGCAAUACAUGGCGAACUGCUCAGUAACACGUGGACAACCUGCCCUUAGGACGGGGAUAAACCCGGGAAACUGGGUAUAAUACCCGAUAGGUCUCGAUUGCUGGAAUGCAUCGAGAUUUAAAGCUCCGGCGCCUAAGGAUGGGUCUGCGGCCUAUCAGGUAGUAGUGGGUGUAGCGUACCUACUAGCCUACGACGGGUACGGGUUGUGAGAGCAAGAGCCCGGAGAUGGAUUCUGAGACACGAAUCCAGGCCCUACGGGGUGCAGCAGGCGCGAAAACUUUACAAUGCUGGCAACAGCGAUAAGGGAACCUCGAGUGCCAGGUUACAAAUCUGGCUGUCGAGAUGCCUAAAAAGCAUUUCAUAGCAAGGGCCGGGCAAGACCGGUGCCAGCCGCCGCGGUAACACCGGCGGCUCGAGUGGUAACCGUUAUUAUUGGGUCUAAAGGGUCUGUAGCCGGCCGGAUAAGUCUCUUGAGAAAUCCAGCAGCUCAACUGUUGGGCUUUCAGGAGAUACUGUUCGGCUCGAGGCCGGGAGAGGUGAGAGGUACUUCAGGGGUAGGGGUGAAAUCUUGUAAUCCUUGAAGGACCACCAGUGGCGAAGGCGUCUCACCAGAACGGACCUGACGGCAAGGGACGAAAGCUAGGGGCACGAACCGGAUUAGAUACCCGGGUAGUCCUAGCCGUAAACGAUACUCGCUAGGUGUCGGCCACGGUGCGACCGUUGUCGGUGCCGUAGGGAAGCCGUGAAGCGAGC
RNAcentral lists this ribosomal RNA (774 nucleotides) under uncultured archaeon. RNAcentral's name for it is "bacterial SSU rRNA". It matches the Rfam family "Archaeal small subunit ribosomal RNA", at positions 45 to 824 of the family's 1478-position model. The record is from RNAcentral.